AGAGUUUGAUCAUGGCUCAGGACGAACGCUGGCGGCGUGCCUAACACAUGCAAGUCGAACGGGGUGAGGCCCUUCGGGACCUUUACCUAGUGGCGAACGGGUGAGUAACGCGUGAGGAACCUGCCUUUCAGUGGGGGACAACAGUUGGAAACGACUGCUAAUACCGCAUGAAGCUUUUGGGAGACAUCUCCUGGAAGCCAAAGCUUAAUGUGCUGAAAGAUGGCCUCGCGUCUGAUUAGCUAGUUGGUGGGGUAACGGCCCACCAAGGCGACGAUCAGUAGCCGGUCUGAGAGGAUGAACGGCCACAUUGGGACUGAGAUACGGCCCAGACUCCUACGGGAGGCAGCAGUGGGGAAUAUUGGGCAAUGGGCGAAAGCCUGACCCAGCAACGCCGCGUGAAGGAAGAAGGCCUUCGGGUUGUAAACUUCUUUUACCAGGGACGAAGGACGUGACGGUACCUGGAGAAAAAGCAACGGCUAACUACGUGCCAGCAGCCGCGGUAAUACGUAGGUUGCAAGCGUUGUCCGGAUUUACUGGGUGUAAGGGGCGUGUAGGCGGAGAUGCAAGUUAGGAGUGAAAUCUAUGGGCUCAACCCAUAAACUGCUUCUAAAACUGUAUCCCUUGAGUAUCGGAGAGGCAAGCGGAAUUCCUAGUGUAGCGGUGAAAUGCGUAGAUAUUAGGAGGAACACCAGUGGCGAAGGCGGCUUGCUGGACGACAACUGACGCUGAGGCGCGAAAGCGUGGGGAGCAAACAGGAUUAGAUACCCUGUAGUCCACGCUGUAAACGAUGAAUACUAGGUGUGGGGGGACUGACCCCCUCCGUGCCGCAGUUAACACAAUAAGUAUUCCACCUGGGGAGUACGACCGCAAGGUUGAAACUCAAAGGAAUUGACGGGGGCCCGCACAAGCAGUGGAUUAUGUGGUUUAAUUCGACGCAACGCGAAGAACCUUACCAGGACUUGACAUCCAACUAACGAAGUAGAGAUACAUCAGGUGCCCUUCGGGGAAAGUUGAGACAGGUGGUGCAUGGUUGUCGUCAGCUCGUGUCGUGAGAUGUUGGGUUAAGUCCCGCAACGAGCGCAACCCCUAUUGUUAGUUGCUACGAAAGAGCACUCUAGCGAGACUGCCGUUGACAAAACGGAGGAAGGCGGGGACGACGUCAAAUCAUCAUGCCCCUUAUGUCCUGGGCUACACACGUAAUACAAUGGUGGCCAACAGAGGGAAGCGAAGCCGUGAGGCGGAGCAAAUCCCUAAAAGCCAUCUCAGUUCGGAUUGCAGGCUGCAACUCGCCUGCAUGAAGCUGGAAUUGCUAGUAAUCGCGGAUCAGCAUGCCGCGGUGAAUACGUUCCCGGGCCUUGUACACACCGCCCGUCACACCAUGAGAGUCGGGAACACCCGAAGUCCGUAGUCUAACCGCAAGGGGGGCGCGGCCGAAGGUGGGUCCGGUAAUUGGGGUGAAGUCGUAACAAGGUA
Molecule: ribosomal RNA, 1473 nt
Filed under: metagenome
Description: bacterial SSU rRNA
Rfam family: Bacterial small subunit ribosomal RNA
Source: RNAcentral